AUUAAACUAAAGAAAGGCAGAAAAUGCUAUCUGGGUCACAGAUGAAGCCAAUAUCGCCUUUGCAAGUUGAAUUCUCAAACAUAUCUAGUCAUCAUGAGGUGGACUUGACUCUCUGGCCAGAUCAAACAUGGGAUAGGGAGCAGCUGAGUAAGGGCUCAGGUUACUUCUACUUAGCCAAAAGAGAGAGAUAUAUAUAAAGACAGAGUAGGAAGCAUCUCUUGAGAUUGACAGCGCUUCAAUAUAUGCUGGUGCAGGUCCUGCCUUAAAUGCAAAUUUUGUCUGCCAGGAGGAUUGCCAAAUAAUAUGCUCUAGUCAACUAUUUAAGAUUACCCCAGUAUAUCCUAUUCUGCCAUUUCUAAUUUACACCAGUAUCAAGGCACUACAAACAGAAUAGUGGGUGGGAAUGCUAUUAAGCCACACCAAAAGAAGCCUGUUUCAAUAAGUGCUUACCCAAUGAGUAGUCUUCAAACCACAAAAUAGAUCCAUUGUUGGAAUAUUACCAUUUUCUCAUUGAAUGAAGAGUAAAAUUCUGCAAUAUGCAUAGAAC
This 547-nucleotide unclassified non-coding RNA is filed under the name Hevea brasiliensis (rubber tree). Lineage: Eukaryota; Viridiplantae; Streptophyta; Magnoliopsida; Malpighiales; Euphorbiaceae. The record is from RNAcentral.